RNAcentral lists this ribosomal RNA (550 nucleotides) under uncultured bacterium. RNAcentral describes it as "bacterial SSU rRNA". It matches the Rfam family "Bacterial small subunit ribosomal RNA", at positions 366 to 917 of the family's 1533-position model. The record is from RNAcentral.
GGUANUGGGCGGAAGCCUGAACCAGCCAUGCCGCGUGCAGGAAGACGGCCCUACGGGUCGUAAACUGCUUUUAUACGGGAAUAAACCUCAGUAUGUAUACUGAGCUGAAUGUACUGUAAGAAUAAGGAUCGGCUAACUCCGUGCCAGCAGCCGCGGUAAUACGGAGGAUCCAAGCGUUAUCCGGAUUUAUUGGGUUUAAAGGGUGCGUAGGUGGCCUGUUAAGUCAGGGGUGAAAGACGGUAGCUCAACUAUCGCAGUGCCCUUGAUACUGAUGGGCUUGAAUGAACUAGAGGUAGGCGGAAUGUGACAAGUAGCGGUGAAAUGCAUAGAUAUGUCACAGAACACCAAUUGCGAAGGCAGCUUACUAUGGUUUUAUUGACACUGAGGCACGAAAGCGUGGGGAUCAAACAGGAUUAGAUACCCUGGUAGUCCACGCCCUAAACGAUGAAUACUCGAUGUUGGCGAUAUACGGUCAGCGUCUAAGCGAAAGCGUUAAGUAUUCCACCUGGGGAGUACGCCCGCAAGGGUGAAACUCAAAAGAAUUGACGGA